CCAAGGUGUCGGAGGGGAUUUCAUUGCACAAACUCUUGCCACAGUCUGUGGAGCUUAAGCUUGACCUUUUGGCUUGUAGGAGCCGGGGAGGAGAGCGCUUUGUGCGCGUUUCCGGGCUGAUGAGCAAAGGCACCUUUGUUGGUGCUUUAGCUACGGGUUACCCAAAUCGGCAACGUGGCAAGCUGGUGGAAGAAAUGAAGUCAUUACCAGGACAUGUGUGGCUGCCGCAUGCUCUGCCCUUGUUGCUGGACACUGGGGACACCCACGGUUGAUGAUACCGAAGGGUUAAACACACGGACAAGAGGAAAUUGGGAAAUGCAACCUCUGGUUUGUAGACAAAAUACCCGAGUUGUUUUUUGGUGGUCUGAUACGCUUGUCUCCUUGUCCCUGGAGCUGAACACUGAGUCUCUGGCACCAAGGGAUGCCAGGUUCGUCGUGGAACAGACCACUUUGUCCAGGGCAAGGAGAAGAAGAUUCUCCAGGAAGUCAGGCCUCUCCUCUGGGAAAAGCAAGAGACUUGUGGUGUACAAGUAGGGACUGGAAUAUUCCCCAUAUCCUGCUACAUCUCUGCUCAUCAGAAGACAAAAGAUACCUUCUGGUCAGAAAGGAAAAAAAGACAUCCUGAGGAAUAAUUCAGCACAGGAGGAGCUACAGCCCUCUAUCCCCUCACAGAACUUGCAGUUAUGUGUCAAGUUAAACCUUAGGAAAGGAGCAAUUUCAGUCUUCCUGGCCAGCCUGGAAGGAACCGUGCUGCCCUGCACAACGCAGUUACUGACAGCAGCUGCGUGGGUAGAAAAAUGCAUUUUUAGAGUUAGCGGAGCAGGGAGUUGUGCUAGGAUUACUGGGUUCUUCCCCAGGCACUGCCUUUGAUUUGCGGUGUGUGCAGACCCCUUAAUUUGUUUCUGUUUUCCCCAUCUGUGAAACUGAGAUAAGAUCACAAGGGAAUUGUAGAGUGUGAUUCAUUAAUGUUUAUUAGACAGAGGGAAAUCCUUAAAUGAAUGGCACUGUAUU
Molecule: long non-coding RNA, 1011 nt
Organism: Grus americana (Whooping crane)
Lineage: Eukaryota; Metazoa; Chordata; Aves; Gruiformes; Gruidae
Exons: 3
Source: RefSeq, a predicted model, not a curated record